Molecule: unclassified non-coding RNA, 213 nt
Filed under: plant metagenome
Description: partial contains small subunit ribosomal RNA and internal transcribed spacer 1
Rfam family: Eukaryotic small subunit ribosomal RNA (bases 1-46)
Source: RNAcentral
AAGUCGUAACAAGGUUUCCGUAGGUGAACCUGCGGAAGGAUCAUUACCGAGUUCCUGCCCUCACGGGUAGAUCUCCCACCCGUGCUUACCCUACCAUGUUGCCUUGGCAGGCCACUCCUUGAUGGAUCACUGGCUCGCGCUAGUGUGUGCCUGCCAGAGGACCCCUAAUCCUGUAUCAUUAUGCGUCGUCCGAGUUAUAUAUAAAUUUUAAAA